CUCCUCUCUUUGUGUGGGAAUAAACUUCCAAGGCAUUCCAUCAGCCACAUCAGCAUUAAAUUGCACAACAAUAUCCCUUGUGGUGACAGUUCCUUCUUUAGCAGCCGAGCAAUUUUCUCUUCAACGCUCUCCCGGCGCUGAAUGGUGCCUCCAUAGCCAGUAGCUUGGCAGAACCUUCGAUAAAGAGGAACAGCAGCAUAUGUACCCCCAACCAUUGCAAAAACCAAACCCG
RNAcentral lists this unclassified non-coding RNA (232 nucleotides) under Hevea brasiliensis (rubber tree). The record is from RNAcentral. Lineage: Eukaryota; Viridiplantae; Streptophyta; Magnoliopsida; Malpighiales; Euphorbiaceae.